UACGUAGGGUGCAAGCGUUAAUCGGAAUUACUGGGCGUAAAGCGUGCGCAGGCGGUUCUAUAAGACAGAUGUGAAAUCCCCGGGCUCAACCUGGGAACUGCAUUUGUGACUGUAGAGCUGGAGUGCGGCAGAGGGGGAUGGAAUUCCGCGUGUAGCAGUGAAAUGCGUAGAUAUGCGGAGGAACACCGAUGGCGAAGGCAAUCCCCCUGGGCCUGCACUGACGCUCAUGCACGAAAGCGUGGGGAGCAAACAGG
Molecule: ribosomal RNA, 254 nt
Filed under: uncultured bacterium
Lineage: Bacteria
Description: partial 16S ribosomal RNA
Rfam family: Bacterial small subunit ribosomal RNA
Source: RNAcentral